RNAcentral lists this non-coding RNA (196 nucleotides) under Daejeonella lutea. Lineage: Bacteria; Pseudomonadati; Bacteroidota; Sphingobacteriia; Sphingobacteriales; Sphingobacteriaceae. The record is from RNAcentral.
UUUUACAUAAACUAUCCAGGUUUGUUCGCCCAUGGCGGACAAUUAAAAGGGAACCGUGUGAAAAUCACGGGCUGACGUGCAACUGUAAUCUAAGGGUUCGGGUGUCAGGUUUCAGGUAUUGGCGAUGCGCUAAUACCUCAUACCUCAUGCCUCAUACCCCGGAAAGCCAGACACCUGCCAAAAUAGUUUGUUCAAA